GAUGAACGCUGACAGAAUGCUUAACACAUGCAAGUCAACUUGAACUUCGGUUUGGGUGGCGGACGGGUGAGUAACGCGUAAAGAACUUGCCUCACAGUUAGGGACAACAUUUGGAAACGAAUGCUAAUACCUGAUAUUAUGAUUUUAGGGCAUCCUAGAAUUAUGAAAGCUAUAUGCGCUGUGAGAGAGCUUUGCGUCCCAUUAGCUAGUUGGAGAGGUAACGGCUCACCAAGGCGAUGAUGGGUAGCCGGCCUGAGAGGGUGAACGGCCACAAGGGGACUGAGACACGGCCCUUACUCCUACGGGAGGCAGGAGUGGGGAAUAUAGGACAAUGGACCAAGAGUCUGAUCCAGCAAUUCUGUGUGGACGAUGAAGUUUUUCGGAAUGUAAAGUGCUUUCAGUUGGGAAGAAAAAAAUGACGAUACCAACAGAAGAAGUGACGGCUAAAUACGUG
This 454-nucleotide ribosomal RNA is filed under the name uncultured bacterium. Its description in RNAcentral is "partial 16S ribosomal RNA". It matches the Rfam family "Bacterial small subunit ribosomal RNA", at positions 28 to 507 of the family's 1533-position model. The record is from RNAcentral.